This 3788-nucleotide long non-coding RNA is filed under the name Capsicum annuum. RNAcentral's name for it is "long non-coding RNA (CANN_LNC015045)". The record is from RNAcentral. Lineage: Eukaryota; Viridiplantae; Streptophyta; Magnoliopsida; Solanales; Solanaceae.
UUCAAUGAACUGAAGAACCUUCUUGUUUUCCUCCGCAAUACUACCAUUAGGGGCCUUCAUUGGGAUCUUUGGUGCAUCAGGUAUUGUUCUUUCCAUCUUAAUAAAGACCUGGCUGAGUCAAUGAUUUUGUUACAAGGUGAACAAAAAAUGUUUAUUAGGUGUGUGGAGGAAGGUUGAGGUGGCUUUAUACGGAGGACGUUUUGGAUCAGGUAUUGUUCUUUCCAUCUUAAUAAAGACCUGGCUGAGUCAAUUAUUUUGUUACAAGGUGAACAAAAAAUGUUUAUUAGGUGUGUGGAGGAAGGUUGAGGUGGCUUUAUACAGAGGACGUUUUGGACGACGUUAAAAUCAGAAACGGAUGGAGUGUAUUGACUACGGGUUGAACUGAAUCCAGUGUUUACUUGUAAAUAUAUCACGUGCGUCUUUUGGAAACUUCUCUGAUAGUUCAAAAAUAUGUUCCAUUGACCUUCAAAGAUCUACCACUUCAUGGCUACAUAAAUUUCCUUUUUGAUAAGUGUGACUUAUGGGCACAGAUGAGCUCAUACAUGUUGUGCUCUUACCAGUACACUAGAGCCAUCCCAACAUUUACCCUCGAAAAUCACUUGAUUAUCAAAAAGAAAAAAGAUAUGCACAAAUCAACAUAGAAUAAAAAAAUAACAUGGCCUUAUCAUCACACCACUACCAAUAGUUGCUAUUAUAGUAUUUCCUAUGUUUAAUUCCUUAUACAUUAUGUAGCUUUCCAGACAGUGACAGAGCAUCUUCAUCAUGUUCUUCAUUUUUUAUACAUUAUGUUACUUUCCUGACGGAUCCUCAUCACCUUGUGUUUCAUUUGUUUUUACAAAUUUCAUCCGCCACUAUUUUGUCUUACAUAAUAAUUCCUUCUUUAAAAUGCAUCUGUAGAGUAAUUGAUCUGUUUUGAUAUUUCUACAUAGCAACUUGACAUACCUUACCAAACUAUGUUUGAAUGCAUAUUGUUUGUUGCUUUUCAGUACAAAUAUUAUAUUUAGUGUCUAGUGGUUCAUAUCAUUUAUUUAAUUAAAUUUAGCCACAAUUAUUUUUAUUAAAUAAAUUUAUAUAUCAUAUUGAGGAUCACAUAAGGAAAUUAUAGACAUUAGAUAAGGACUAAUGUCUAGGUGAUCUAUAGUUUUAUUUAAUUGAAACUUAGUCACAACAUCUUUAUUUUUUUUUCUUUUUUUAGAUAACCGUGCUGUCCGGGCCAGCUUACGCGCUCCUUGACUAAUUUCACGGGAUACCUGCCACCUCCCACCAGCACAACAGGUACCAGGUAAUUCUAUCCACAAAGGCUAGAAUAGAUGGAAUAAAUCACCUAGCGUUUGUCUCUGUUAGGAAUUGAACCUGAGACCUCAGAUGCUCAACCCAACUUCAUUGAACCACAUGGCCACACCCUUGGGUGCUAGUCACAACAUCUUCAAUUGAACAAAAAUUUUAAAGUUAAGGAUCACACAAGAAAUUUUGGACAUUAGAAUUGUUGAUUAAUUAUGCACUAUGUAAUAACUCAAGAAUCUUUAUUAUUGGGUUGCAUAAUUAAUUAGAAUAAUCUAACAAAGAUUCAAUAAAGAGGAAAACGCAACUCAAAAGAAUAUUGAAAAGAUCAGGUCCACCCUAUAAAAGAACUUUUGUUCAGAUAUAUAUCAAAGGAAAACUUUGUCCUCAGGAUCUUUCUCCCUGAAGAAAGGACAUUAAUAGCUGUUUAGGUAUAACCUAACGUCCAACUAUGAUGACAAUGGUCAAAGCCAUUGAUUAAAAAUAUUUUUACCUAUCAAAUUAUCACCAAUUAUUUAUCAAAAUCUAUCUCAGUUAUCAAUUGUUUGCUUUUUCCACGUGAAAUAUGAUGACUUCAGGUAGGAGAGAAGUGAACACUUGAUAGUUAAGGUGUUGUUUGAUAAAUAGUUGGUGACACUUCAUGUAGAAAACGUACUCACCUGAUCGUUCAGGUAUGUAACUCAAAAGACCUGAAUACGUGAGGUGUGUUUUUGAUUCUAGGGAGCAUCAAGGUUCAAAAAACACACCUAACGUAUCCCUAUAUUUUGAUUUUCAUACUUGAAUUAUUCGGUGUGCAAGUUUCCCACUUGUAUUAACACUAACUAUUUAGUUGUGUUUUUGACUAUUAACUCUUCUAGCUAAGAUAAACAAUGUGUGAGUGCUACAACAUAGACAUCUUCGUUCCUCUUCCCGUCGUAGAAGCCUAGCUCCAUCACAAAUAGUAGUGACCAACAAACAUAAACGAGAAUGUUUAAAAUUAGAGAAACACCGACUAUUAAUCAAAACACACCUCAACUAUUAAUUGUUCACUUUUCCUACUUGCAAUAACACCAUCAUAGGUGAUACGAGCCAAAUGGCCAACUUAGAUUUUGAUGACAUCUUUGGAGGCCAACACGUAGAGACUCAAGACUUGGUCACCUCGAAUAUACAGGAACAAGCAAGGAGGACCGGUUUUGAGCAUGCCAUUAAGCAAGGUUGUGUGUGGAAGAUUGCUUGGAGCAUUAAAGACUUGAGGACUCACGGUUUUGGACCACACUUAAAUGACUCAUGGUUUUUGAAGCAUUGAAGAGCCUUAAAACACUCCAAAACCGCCACUCUACUUAAGGGUGUUUUGGUCAUUUUGUGCCCUUUCCUUACACUCCAUAGGAGUUCCUUUCAUUAAGGGCAUUAGGGUCAUUUUGUCUUCAUUUUGUAAUAGCUAUAUGUAGGCUCUUUAGGGUUUAUUUCAUACUUGGUUAUUUAUUGAUGGAAAACUUUGAAACAUUGUAACACCUAAUUCUCUCUAGGUUUUGAGAGUGAAACACCUUAGUUGUAGGGCUUGGAAAAGCCAAAACCGAAAUGAGGGCUGUUUCAAGUGUGGAUUUACUUGAGUUGCAACUUGGCUUGAAACGUUGGUGCUUGAGGAGGUAACGUCCCUCUUGUGUCAUUGUAAGGGUUUUGGUGAUUGUUUUUGUAGGUGUUAGAGGUCCUUAGAUUUGAUACAUCUUAGGGUUUCUAAUGUUUAUGUAAGCAUUUGUCUAACCAUCUAUCCUUUAAUAUAUUGCAAAUCGUUUGUGUUUUGUGCUUCUCUUAUUGUUGCCGUUUUAUGUCUUGUUCUUUGUGGACUGUUUUGUGUCCUUUGUGAGCUGUCUUGUAUCAGUAGGUAAGAUAAAUGAACAAUUGAUAGUUGAGGUAUGUUUUCAUAAAUAGUUGGUGAUAGUUUACGUAGGAAACUUGAACGCCUAAUAGUUUAGGUAUGAAACUUAAAAAAUGGGGAUAUUUUUAGUGUGUUUUUGACCAUUUAACUCUUACAAUUAUUUAACUUACUUUAAUUAUUUUCUUGGCUAAUGCCAGACUUCUCUAAAGUUGAGGUUCUCAAAGUCUAACACCUCUACCUACACAAACAUGAAAAUCUCUAAUAUGAUAAGUUAGUAUGAUACAUAUUCUUUAUCAAAGUUACCAUUCUAAGAAAAAAUAAUAUUUCCUUUAUCUGCUUUGUUAUUAUUAAUACGCCUACUCAUCAUUUGCAGGGGCUAAGAUCAAGUCUUCUUACCGUGACGUCCAAUUCUGAAGUUGCUCAUGUCAAACAUGAUUAUGUUAUUUGCACUAGCUUGUUCAAUAUAAUCGGACACCCUUCUGUCUGCGCGAAACAAAAAGUUAAAGAGUAGCUAGAAUUACAUCUUAGUCAAAUAAGAGGACUUGUUCUUAGUCCCUGCAAAUGAUGUGUAAGUCUAUUAAUAAGAUUAAAGCAGAUAAACAAAAUAUCCGAAGGGUGUUGAUAAGUUGUUAGGACAACAAAUUUUUGGCAG